Long non-coding RNA from Haliotis rubra (blacklip abalone), 828 nucleotides. RefSeq lists it as uncharacterized. The transcript is spliced from 3 exons. NCBI's taxonomy places the organism in Eukaryota, Metazoa, Mollusca, Gastropoda, Lepetellida, Haliotidae. The record is from RefSeq and is a predicted model, not a curated record.
AGAUCACGUUAACGGCGUUGACCCCUUAAUGAGCCCCUUGGAGAAGAAAGGUUACAAUGAAGAGGAAAGUGAGGAGGCGAAACGUUUGUCGAUUGAUUCACAAGGUUCCCUGAUAAAUAAUGAUAAUCAGGACGUUUCGUCAAAACAAUUGAAAAACAGUUUGAAUGAACCAGAUACAACAGAUAUGACAAUGCCUCUGAGAGCUCGACUGCUCACGAUUUACUUACUAACACGCAGGAAACAUGAACUGACCGAACUUUCAGUACUAUCUGCCUGGAUAUUACUAUACUUAGGACACAACUCCAUGGAUAACUGGUAAGUCUUAAAAAUUCUCUGACGAAUGGUUUUAACGGACCAUCUGUGAGUACACAAUGCCGAUUUUGUGAGGCUUAUGUGAUUAACAUGUGAAUGGUGAUAGAUAGCAACAUUUGCAAAGAACGAUUGAUUUGAGUGAAUACAGGUACUGAGAGUGAAUGUAAGUACAGAGAGAGGGAAAACAGGUACAGAGAGAGUGAACACAGGUACAGAGAGAGUGAACACAGGUACAGAGAGAGUGCACGAAGGUACAGAGUGAACACAGGUACAGAGAAAGUUCACGUAGGUACAGAGUGAACACAGGUACAGAGAGAGAGUGAACACUGGUACAGAGUGAGGGAACACAGGUACAGAGAGAGAACACAGGUACAGAGGGAGUGAACACUGGUGCAGAGGGAGCGAACACAGGUACAGAGAGAGUGAACACAUGUACAGGCAGGGUGAACACAUGUACAGACAGGGUGAACACAGGUACAGACAGGGUGAACACAGGUACAAACAGGGUGAACACAG